CCGAGUUACAACUCCCAAACCCAUGUGAACCAUACCUAAACGUUGCCUUCGGCGGGGUCACCACCCUCGCACCUAACCUCGAGGGCCCCGCCAGAGGACCCAAACCAAACUCUUGCUGUUUUGUCCUUACAACGGAACUUUCUGAGCUGGAUUUAUAAAUUCAAAUUCA
Molecule: unclassified non-coding RNA, 169 nt
Filed under: soil metagenome
Description: partial internal transcribed spacer 1
Source: RNAcentral